CGAAUCUGCGGAUGCAACAUCUGGAGCACGGGGAGUGGAGUCUGUAAAUAAAUCUAACCACCAAAAACCAGUUAACGUGGAACACCCUGCGUGAAAACGGGGCAGAAACGUGGGGCAGGUCUGUAAAUGUAAAUAUGAAUUGUAACACUUUUCCCAUUUCCAUAAUCUGCUGAUAUGAUAUGAUUGGGCUGUUAAACCUACAGGGGAACUACGAACAUUAUGGUGUUGUACUAUCGAGUUGUCUUGCAUGAAGACCACAGAUAAGCGCCAUAAAUCAAACUCAUGUCAGGUCUAAUGGGUCGAAGUGCGUUUAAGGUUCGCUUACAUUACCCUUUCUAAAAUCUGUUGCCGUGUUGCGAGCCUUUUGAAUUGUCGUGAAUUGAUUUACACUUCGGGUAAGCUGGGACAAGAAAUGGAAUUUCAACUUUUGCAUUGAAGUUGUUUGUUUUUCUUCUGUGGUUCUCGUUUACUUGACCUGCAUGAAACAACACAGUAUGAACGUUGACAUGUGCUUCAGUCAUCCGCAGUGACAUUAUUAAGUGCAGGUGGGUUCUCGUCACUGCUCUUCUUCUUUUUUUAUAUAUAUAUAGAGAGAGAGAUAUAUAUUUAGUUUUUGUUUGCAUUUGUCCUCCACCUCUACUCAUUCGCCCAACGAGGUCGUGACAGAGAAGACAAACGUACUUUGGCAACAAAACGUCCAACGGUAGGAGAACUGCGAAAAUACGUGACAGAAAACUUAUAUUAAAUUCCAUACCAGAACUAUUUGAUAUACAGAUCGCGUUUAUCAGUUUAUUAUCAAGAGUUAUUAAGUGCUCAUAUGAUUUUUAAAAUUAUUCUCGAGUGAAAGCGCCUUUCUGAAUAAUGGUACGUCCUAUAAAACCCCACUAGAGAGUGCUGUGGUACAAUUUUAAGGACAACCAUCACUAAGCUAUUCCAAUUCUUUAUGAAAGCUAUUCAUAAGUAAAUGGUUUUGUGUUUGUGAAUUAUGUAAAAAGCCAUGUACUAAUGUUCUGAAAGUCCUAAGCCAUUAAAUACAAAUAUACACAUCAGCCAACUUUAAUAAGUGCCUUCAAAUUUGCCUUCAAAUGGACCAAGCAGCCAAGAACGUCCAAGCACAGAUAUAAUCUUUAAAUUAUGUUUUUUUUUUAUUAUAUCCCAGAAAAGAUAAGAGGUUAUUUCAAAAAUACACAAUAAUAGAAAUAAGCUAUUUUAAGAACUAUGUAGGCCUAUAAAAGAGGUAAACUAAACAGACUUCUACUCAAAAAAUAUCAUAACUCAACAAACUGACCUAUUUAGUAACUGAAUAAACCUUCUUUUAGCAUCAGAUUUUGUUUUGGGGUAUUUCGGUGGGCCUAUGUGAAAUGUAGCUUCAGUUUCCUGUUCUUAACUUAUGUGGUCUGCUGCUGCUGUAGCUCAUCUGCUUCAAGUUUCAACCUGCUGUGCUCUUCUGCAUACCUUGGCUAUAAUGAGUGGCUAUUUGAAUUACUGUUGUCUUCCUAUCAACUCAAAGCAGUCUGUCCAUUCUUCUUUGACCUCUGACAUCAAGUAGACAUUUUCACCCAGAGAAACUCAAGACUUUCAGUCUGCCUUGAAGCAUUCCAAGGGUGUAUAGUAUACCCAGAACAUGGUUGAGACACAUCUCUCGGCUGGCCUGGGAACAACUCAGCGUUUCUCCGGAUAAGCUGAAGAAGGUGGCUGGGGAGGGGGAAGUUUGUGCUCUCUGCUUAGGCUACUGUCCCCACAACUUGACCCUGACUAAGCAGAAGAGGAUGGAUGGACGAACAGAUGGAAAAAUAUUCUCUGCAAACUCCAGAGAAACCCGAGAGAUUGUUGUGUGGAAAAAUCCCAGUAAAUCCCAGUGAGUCCCCGGAGUUUUUGAACUUCUCAGACCAGUCCUUCUGGCACCAAUAACCAAGCCGCAUUCAAAGUCACUUAAAUCACUUUUCUUCUUCAUUCUGAUGCCCAGUUUUAAUGUUGUGGCUCACUUCAUGAGCCACAACAUUAAUUAAAACCCUGUGAAAGAUGUAGUGAAAAAUGUCAUCAUCAUCAUCACAUCACGAUGCAGUUUUCUGGUGUCAAAAUUUUGGUCCUGUCAUUUAUGUGGAUUUUUCUUUGAAUGUCCACUCCACUCAUCAUGCACUCAAGCCUUUUUGCCUCUGAUGCUUAGUUUGAUCCUUUGUGCACAGAAGGAGGGUGAAUGAAGCAUCAAAUAACUCGUUUUUAUGUGCAUGUGAAAUGAGACUAAAGCAGAAAGCCUGGGUUAACAGAAAAAGACCUAAUAUUGUUAAUAAUUACGGCUUAAGUAAAACAUUAUUAAAUUAAGUAGUUACAACUAAAAGUCUUUACAAAAUGAGCUUUAAUAUGACACACUUCUGAAAACUGCAAUCGUAACUUUGUGCCAUCAUUUCUCUGAAAACAAUUUAUACUGUUUUCUAUUACUUAUGUUUUGUUACUUAUAAUUUAUAUUUUUUAUGUUUGCAGGUAGGAAAGAUAAAGCCAUAAAGAAUGUCUGAUAUAAAAUAUUACAUGUCACUGUCUGUGACUGUGGGUGUCAUGUUGGUGGGCCUGCUCUACUCCAUCUGUUUAGCCUGUCAGUGGAUUUAUGGUUGGCCUGACAAGCCUGGGUAUAAGAAGUACAUAGAAGCUCUUAAUCCAAGGCGAAUAUAUCGUCUGACCCUCACUACACUGGAUCUUCUCAAAUACCUGCAGUAUUGGAAAGUUUACUUUCAGCUGAAGUCAUGGUAUAACGAUGAGAGGAAUCUAAAGUAUUAUGAAAAGGGCAUCACGUUUGGCCGCAGAGGCAACAAGCUGGACUUAUACCACCCUCCAAAUGUAAGGAAGCUGCCAUCACCGGCGGUAGUAUUUGUCUACGGAGGUGCAUGGGGCACAGGAGAAAGGUCCACUUACUGUUUACUGGGGAGUCGGAUGGCUGAAGAACUGAAAGCAACUGUAAUUUGUCCUGAUUACUGCACAUAUCCAAAGGGGAAUGUUUUAGGGAUGGUCCAAGAUAUCACUGACUGCUUGAUUUGGGCCCACCAGAAUGGAGAGAAAUUCAACUUUGACAAAGAUAACAUUGUAUUAAUUGGGCAUUCAGCAGGUGCACAUUUGUGUACACUCACCACACUGUUUCUUGUUGAUACAAGAGAGGAGCUUUCCAUAGAGCCAGGCAAGCAGCAGGAAGUCUUGCUCUCGAUAAGAGGAAUUAUUGGUCUGAGCGGCGUCUACAACAUCGUGGACCAUUAUGAGCAUGAACAGAAACGAGGAGUUGAACGAGUGUCCCCCAUGCACAAAGCGAUGAAUGGUGUGGAAAACCUUCCAUACUACUCACCAACACACUUACUAAAGAAGCUCAGCCAGGACAAAGUCAACAGAUUGCCUCCAUUCGCUUUGCUCCAUGGGACCAAUGACAUUAUGGUUCCUGCUGAAUCUACCAUAAGAUUCUCUGAGCUUCUCACUUUGCGCUCUGUUAAGAUGUCAUUGAAUGUUCUUCAUGGAGUCGCCCACACUGAGACUGCUGUUGAUCUCAUGGUGUUAAACAGACGCCUCUACCGUCCAAUCUACAGAUACAUCAAAGAAGAGUUUAGAAAAUUUCUGGGUACCUGCUGACUGCAUGUGAUUAGAAAAGUAUUCACACAGCUCCAGUAUGUGCUGAAUUGUACUGUACUGUAAAUUAAAAUCAACCAUUUAAUUAUGAGUUUGACUUGAUUCUCUGAAGCUCUGAUUUUAUAAAACUAAUAUGAUAUUUUUAACAGUACUUUAAUUAUUUUGGAGAGAUGCUCUUUAUAGUGCUGUCAAAUAAGUAAUCACAAAGUGAAAUCAAUUAUAGAACAGUAGGGUUUAUUAGGAAGCUACACACAAUAUUCAAAUCCAGUUACAAAAU
This is a long non-coding RNA of Astatotilapia calliptera (eastern happy), 3880 nucleotides long. The record is from Ensembl. NCBI's taxonomy places the organism in Eukaryota, Metazoa, Chordata, Actinopteri, Cichliformes, Cichlidae.